CACGUAGGGGGCGAGCGUUGUCCGGAUUUAUUGGGCGUAAAGAGCUCGUAGGCGGCUCAGUAAGUCGGGUGUGAAAUUUCAGGGCUCAACCCUGAAACGCCACCCGAUACUGCUGUGGCUAGAGUCCGGUAGGGGAGCGUGGAAUUCCUGGUGUAGCGGUGAAAUGCGCAGAUAUCUGGAGGAAUACCGGUGGCGAAGGCGGCAUCCUGGACUGGCAUUGACGCUGAGGAGCGAAAGCCAGGGGAGCAAACGGG
RNAcentral lists this ribosomal RNA (254 nucleotides) under uncultured bacterium. Its description in RNAcentral is "partial 16S ribosomal RNA". It matches the Rfam family "Bacterial small subunit ribosomal RNA", at positions 524 to 776 of the family's 1533-position model. The record is from RNAcentral.